AGCUUUGUGCAGUGCAGUAUCAUAGCCAAAGAGGUUUAUCCAAGGCUUGGUUAUGGCUAAUUGAAAUCUUUUCCCAACAGCCAUUGUUAUGAGAAUAAAAAGAAAACAACAGUCUGGAAAAAAUAUUUGAGCAUCAUAUAUCUGC
This is a small nuclear RNA of Lemur catta (Ring-tailed lemur), 145 nucleotides long. RefSeq annotates it as U4 spliceosomal RNA. The transcript has a single exon. Lineage: Eukaryota; Metazoa; Chordata; Mammalia; Primates; Lemuridae. The record is from RefSeq and is a predicted model, not a curated record.